AGUGAACGCUGGCGGUAGGCCUAACACAUGCAAGUCGAACGGCAGCACAGUAAGAGCUUGCUCUUACGGGUGGCGAGUGGCGGACGAGUGAGGAAUACAUCGGAAUCUACUUUUUCGUGGGGGAUAACGUAGGGAAACUUACGCUAAUACCGCAUACGACCUACGGGUGAAAGCAGGGGAUCGUCGGACCUUGCGCGAUUGAAUGAGCCGAUGUCGGAUUAGCUAGUUGGCGGGGUAAAGGCCCACCAAGGCGACGAUCCGUAGCUGGUCUGAGAGGAUGAUCAGCCACACUGGAACUGAGACACGGUCCAGACUCCUACGGGAGGCAGCAGUGGGGAAUAUUGGACAAUGGGCGCAAGCCUGAUCCAGCCAUACCGCGUGGGUGAAGAAGGCCUUCGGGUUGUAAAGCCCUUUUGUUGGGAAAGAAAAGCAGCAGGUUAAUACCCCGCUGUUCUGACGGUACCCAAAGAAUAAGCACCGGCUAACUUCGUG
RNAcentral lists this ribosomal RNA (492 nucleotides) under uncultured bacterium. RNAcentral describes it as "partial 16S ribosomal RNA". It matches the Rfam family "Bacterial small subunit ribosomal RNA", at positions 29 to 507 of the family's 1533-position model. The record is from RNAcentral.